AACGAACGCUGGCGGCAUGCCUAACACAUGCAAGUCGAACGAGACCUUCGGGUCUAGUGGCGCACGGGUGCGUAACGCGUGGGAACCUGCCCUUAGGUUCGGAAUAACUCCCCGAAAGGGGUGCUAAUACCGGAUAAUGUCUUCGGACCAAAGAUUUAUCGCCUUUGGAUGGGCCCGCGUUGGAUUAGCUAGUUGGUAUGGUAAAAGCCUACCAAGGCGACGAUCCAUAGCUGGUCUGAGAGGAUGAUCAGCCACACUGGGACUGAGACACGGCCCAGACUACUACGCGAUGGAGCAGUGGGGAAUAUUGGACAAUGGGCGAAAGCAUGAACCAGCAAUGCCGCGUGAGUGAUGAAGGCCGUAGAGUAGUAAAGCUCUUUUACCCGCGAUGAUAAUGACAGUACCGGGAGAAUAAGCACCGGCUAACUUCGUG
RNAcentral lists this ribosomal RNA (433 nucleotides) under uncultured bacterium. RNAcentral's name for it is "partial 16S ribosomal RNA". It matches the Rfam family "Bacterial small subunit ribosomal RNA", at positions 29 to 507 of the family's 1533-position model. The record is from RNAcentral.